Molecule: ribosomal RNA, 39 nt
Filed under: Aglaia sp. Pannell 1844
Lineage: Eukaryota; Viridiplantae; Streptophyta; Magnoliopsida; Sapindales; Meliaceae
Description: partial 26S ribosomal RNA
Source: RNAcentral
UGCGACCCCAGGUCAGGCGGGAAUACCCGCUGAGUUUAA